RNAcentral lists this ribosomal RNA (468 nucleotides) under uncultured bacterium. RNAcentral's name for it is "partial 16S ribosomal RNA". It matches the Rfam family "Bacterial small subunit ribosomal RNA", at positions 28 to 507 of the family's 1533-position model. The record is from RNAcentral.
GACGAACGCUGGCGGCGUGCUUAACACAUGCAAGUCGAACGGAAAGGCCCUGCUUUUGUGGGGUGCUCGAGUGGCGAACGGGUGAGUAACACGUGAGUAACCUGCCCUUGACUUUGGGAUAACUUCAGGAAACUGGGGCUAAUACCGGAUAGGAGCUCCUGCUGCAUGGGGGGGGUUGGAAAGUUUCGGCGGUUGGGGAUGGACUCGCGGCUUAUCAGCUUGUUGGUGGGGUAGUGGCUUACCAAGGCUUUGACGGGUAGCCGGCCUGAGAGGGUGACCGGCCACAUUGGGACUGGGGUACGGCCCAGACUCCUACGGGAGGCAGCAGUGGGGAAUAUUGCACAAUGGGCGGAAGCCUGAUGCAGCAACGCCGCGUGCGGGAUGACGGCCUUCGGGUUGUAAACCGCUUUCGCCUGUGACGAAGCGUGAGUGACGGUAAUGGGUAAAGAAGCACCGGCUAACUACGUG